Molecule: ribosomal RNA, 379 nt
Filed under: Hyalomantis sp. MN220
Lineage: Eukaryota; Metazoa; Arthropoda; Insecta; Mantodea; Nanomantidae
Description: partial 12S ribosomal RNA
Source: RNAcentral
AUUAGAUACCCUAUUAUUUUUAAUGUAAAAAAGUUAAGCUAGAGUACUAGUAGAUAUGUUCUUGAAACUUAUAGAAUUUGGCGGUAUUAUAGUCUAUUUAGAGGAAUUUGUUAUGUAAUCGAUAGUCCACGUUGAACCUUACUUAUAUUAAUUCUUGUAUAUCGCUGUUUAAUGAAUAUACUUUUAGGUUAUUUUCUUAAUAAAUGAGUAAUUAGAAUUUCAAGUCAAGGUGCAGUAAUAUAUAAGAUAAAUAAUGGAUUACAAUAAAUUUUAUUUAUAUGGAUAGUUCUUGUAAUUAUAAUUUGAAGGUGGAUUUAAAUGUAAUUUUUUAAAGAUUGUUUUAAUGAUUUUUAGCUCUAUAAUAUGCACACAUCGCCCG